RNAcentral lists this ribosomal RNA (253 nucleotides) under uncultured bacterium. RNAcentral's name for it is "partial 16S ribosomal RNA". It matches the Rfam family "Bacterial small subunit ribosomal RNA", at positions 524 to 776 of the family's 1533-position model. The record is from RNAcentral.
UACAGAGGGGGCAAGGGUUGUUCGGAAUUACUGGGCGUAAAGGGCGCGUAGGUGGCCAACUAAGUCAGACGUGAAAUCCCUCAGCUUAACUGGGGAACUGCGUCUGAUACUGGAUGGCUUGGAUCCGGGAGAGGGAUGCGGAAUUCCAGGUGUAGCGGUGAAAUGCGUAGAUAUCUGGAGGAACACCGGUGGCGAAGGCGGCAUCCUGGACCGGUAUUGACGCUGAGGAGCGAAAGCCAGGGGAGCAAACGGG